CUGUACAGGGGGAGUAACAGUCAGAAAUGACUGCUAAUACCGCAUAAGACCACAGCACCGCAUGGUGCAGGGGUAAAAACUACCGGUGGUACAGGAUGGACCCGCGUCUGAUUAGCUGGUUGGUGAGGUAACGGCUCACCAAGGCGACGAUCAGUAGCCGGCUUGAGAGAGUGAACGGCCACAUUGGGACUGAGACACGGCCCAAACUCCUACGGGAGGCAGCAUG
This 226-nucleotide ribosomal RNA is filed under the name uncultured bacterium. RNAcentral's name for it is "partial 16S ribosomal RNA". It matches the Rfam family "Bacterial small subunit ribosomal RNA", at positions 131 to 353 of the family's 1533-position model. The record is from RNAcentral.